AGCAGCCGCGGUAAUUCCAGCUCCAAUAGCGUAUAUUAAAGUUGUUGCAGUUAAAAAGCUCGUAGUUGAAUUUCGGGAUCAAUUAGUCGGUCGUGCCUCUGGUACGUACUGGUUUUAUUGGUUCCUCCCUUCUGACGAAACAUGAUGUCAUUAAUUUGGUGUCGUGGAGAAUCAGGACUGUUACCUUGAAAAAAUUAGAGUGUUUAUAGCAGGCUAACGCUUGAAUACAUUAGCAUGGAAUAAUGAAAUAGGACGUUCGACCCUAUUUUGUUGGUUUCUAGGAUCGACGUAAUGAUUAAUAGGGAUAGUUGGGGGCAUUAGUAUUCAAUUGUCAGAGGUGAAAUUCUUGGAUUUAUUGAAGACUAACUACUGCGAAAGCAUUUGCCAAGGAUGUUUUCAUUAAUCAAGAACGAAAGUUAGGGGAUCGAAGACGAUCAGAUACCGUCGUAGUCUUAACCAUAAACUAUGCCGACUAGGGAUCGGAUGAUGUAAUUUUUUA
This 499-nucleotide unclassified non-coding RNA is filed under the name uncultured Archaeospora. Its description in RNAcentral is "SSU rRNA". It matches the Rfam family "Eukaryotic small subunit ribosomal RNA", at positions 569 to 1072 of the family's 1831-position model. Lineage: Eukaryota; Fungi; Glomeromycota; Glomeromycetes; Archaeosporales; Archaeosporaceae. The record is from RNAcentral.